RNAcentral lists this ribosomal RNA (254 nucleotides) under uncultured bacterium. Its description in RNAcentral is "partial 16S ribosomal RNA". It matches the Rfam family "Bacterial small subunit ribosomal RNA", at positions 524 to 776 of the family's 1533-position model. The record is from RNAcentral.
UACGGGGGGAGCAAGCGUUGUUCGGAUUUACUGGGCGUAAAGGGCGCGUAGGCGGCCACCGCAAGUCGACUGUGAAAUCUCCGGGCUUAACCCGGAACGGUCAGCCGAUACUGCGGGGCUAGAGUGCAGAAGGGGCAACUGGAAUUCUCGGUGUAGCGGUGAAAUGCGUAGAUAUCGAGAGGAACACCUGCGGCGAAGGCGGGUUGCUGGGCUGACACUGACGCUGAGACGCGAAAGCUAGGGGAGCAAACGGG